UGAGGACAGACCUCGGACAGAAAGUCACUGAGGAGUGCCUGAGAAGCAUGUCUCUGGGAGAGGAAGGAGGGUAAGAUUCCCAUUGUCCUAGGAGAAGGAAAUACCCAACCUCUUGUUUGGAUCACCUGGGAAAAACAGUUGUGGGGAGGGAAUGGCCAUGUCACACAAUCCUUCCAAACCUCUGCAACCCCCAGCCAUUCUGCAAACCCUCUGCCAUUCAUGGCACAUGAAUGUUGACGGGAUGUGGGAGAGGCUUGUGUUGAUGGGCCCUGGGUCCUUGGCUUGGAGCCCUUCCCUGGUCUGGGAGAACAUCAGCUUCUACCUUUGUGGCUGCUUUGGGAGUGUGGACUUCAUGCACAACUUAGAUAUGACUCACCGACACCAGCUCCUGCUGGAUAUUCAUGUCUUUCUACCCCAGUCUGCAUACCUGCCCGAGACACCUGUAAGGACUUGGAGCCCCUGGACACAUGUGAAGAAGUUAACUUCACAGCUCUGCUGGAGCACAACUCCAUGAAAUGAGGACAAGCCGUAAUUCCAAGGAGAUUCUACGCUCACCACCCCUCCAUCCCAGCAGUGAGGAAUGUUGUCCCCUCGUCCUGUUCUGUGGUGUGUGGAAAGGCCCAAGACUGGGACUCAGGGCAGUGGGUUCAGAACUCAACUCUGACACUGAAUGGCUGUGUGACCUUGUGUCAGUCUUCUUCCGUCUCUGAACUUGUGUUUCCCCAUCUAUAAAAGAGAGGAGGAGCUGACGAGGCUUGCUUAUUCUACAUCUCUUCUAACUUGGAUAGUCUACGGUUUGAUUUCCAUGUCUCUCCACCAUUGGGUUUUAUCUGAAGCAAAUUUGACCUCCCUUCUCUGGACUUUCCAAAAGGUCUUGGUAUAAUGAACCUUGGGAAGAGAAUAAAUCUAGUUUGGGAUUGGCAAGACUUGUAGAUAUACCUUUUCUGCCUCAGCUUUGAACCCUCAAGCUCCUCCCUCAGGAAGUGAAAUGCAUGACAAAAAAUGUGAAAAUGACCUGUGGAAGGAAAAAGAACUCUUCAACUCUUCCAAGGAAUUCACACUGGCCAAGAUGGGGAACAGUGGAAAGAACAGGGGUUGCACUGUCUGGAGAUGGUAGCCACUAGUUAACAACUUAUUACGGUAACGUCAUAACAGCUGACAUUCUUGGAGUUCUUGCCAUGAACCAGACUCCGUGCUGAGGGCUUACAUCAAUCCUCUCAGUUAACCUCACAGCAAAUCUGUGAGGUAGGAGUUUUAUCAUUGUCUUUAUUUUACAGAUAAGAAACUGACACUUAGGGGCACCUGGGUGGCUCAGCUGGUUAAGCGUCUUCCUCUGGCUCAGGUCAUGAUCCCAGGGUCCUUGAAUGGACCCGGAGAGCCUGUUUCUUCCUCUGCCUGCCCUUCCCCCUGCUUGUGCUCUUUCUCUGUCAAAUAAAUAAAUAAAAUCUCAAAAAAAAAAAAAAAAGAAAAGAAAAGAAAAGAAACUGACACUUAGAAAAUAAAUGGUUGCAAAGACUCCAGAACCUAUUCUUGACUCCUAUCAAUGCAUGGCCUCCAAACCUCUGAUCCUGUUGGGGUACUUGUGGAAGCAUCCAUUGCUCUGGGUCACUGAGAGAUUCUGAAGAGCAGAGCACACUCUGACAGCCUACGUGGAACUUGUGACAGAGGCGAGAAGGACACCUUUGCUGGAGUGAGCCUCCAAGGUCUGAGGGUUGCUUGUUACUGUAGCACAAUGUGGC
This 1739-nucleotide long non-coding RNA is filed under the name Mustela putorius furo (domestic ferret). Its description in RNAcentral is "lncRNA (ENSMPUG00000024063.1)". Lineage: Eukaryota; Metazoa; Chordata; Mammalia; Carnivora; Mustelidae. The record is from RNAcentral.